This is an RNA transcript of Vitis riparia (riverbank grape), 5770 nucleotides long. RefSeq lists it as uncharacterized. The transcript is spliced from 12 exons. NCBI's taxonomy places the organism in Eukaryota, Viridiplantae, Streptophyta, Magnoliopsida, Vitales, Vitaceae. The record is from RefSeq and is a predicted model, not a curated record.
CUUGGUGGGCUCAAGUCACUUAAGCUUAGUAAGGAACCUUAUAAAUACUCUCUUAGGGACUAGGUUUUUCAUAACCUUUUGAGAGACAAUUGUCUUCCACUUUUAGAGAGAGAGAGCUUAGGAUUCCUCCCUUCCAAAGCUCACACUUUGGAGUGCCAAGAUCGUGGUUCAAGUCAUUAGACGGAAGAUCUUGGGUGCACGAGACUUCCAUAUUCUUCGUUCUUCAUUUUCAUCGAGUGGAAUUGGUUUGAGAACAUCCAAAUUAGAGGUAAAUUUUUCUAAUGGCUUUUCUCUAGUUCCUAUCUUGUUAAAAAUUUUGAUUUUUGCUUCCAUUGCAUAGGAUCUAGAGGCCUAGGGUAGCUUUUGCAUGCACCUAUUCAAUCUAGGGUAAGGGAACAAAGUAAUCCAAGGUUCCCAACAAUUGAUGGUAGAAAGAAGAAGGGUUAUAUCACAGGAAGGAAGGUUGCACCAACAUAGGAUGACCCAAACUAUGAUGAUUGGGAGGCUGAAGAUGCUCUAGUCAAGUCUUAGCUCAUCAAUUCCAUGAUUGACAAGCUGAUGUCACACUUUGUGUAGUAUGGAAUGGCUAAGAAGGUUUGGGAUGCGGUCAAUAGGAGCUAUCUUGAUGUCUCUGACUCUUCUCAAGUAUAUGAACUGAUGAAGAAAUCCUUUCAAUCACACCAGGGUGGUUGCCCCCUUGCAGAAUACUACAAUGAGUUAAACUCAAUAUUCAUGGAGUUUGAUUAUUGAAGGCCCAAUGAUAUAACAUGUUGUUGGAAAAUCUACCAGUUGGAAAUUCUGGCAGAUUGUGUGGCAGAUUAUUGAAUAUUUUUCCAGCCCAUAUGAGCUGUAAUAACUGUAUACUCCCAGGAUUUUUUCCUUUCUUAGCAUUCUUGACUUUUCUUAUUUAUCUUUGAUAGCAUGAUCGUAGGCAUUAUUUCCUAGGCUAUUUUUAUACAGCUAUUUUGUAUAUAUUCAUAUGUAAUCCUAUACCAAAAAAGAGAGCAGAAAGCAUUUCACAAAAAGGUUCUAGAUCUGAAUGAGAACAUGGUAUCGGAGUUAGAAUUUUCUUUGCCUAAUCACUAGCAUUCCAAUGUCCUGUGCCUUGAUUGUCAGGAAUUUUUUUCAGAUCAUAUCUCAUUAGUUUCUGACCUUCUGUUAGAAACGUUGCUUUAGAUUAGGCCUUCAUUGCCCCUAUUUUUUUGACCUUCAUAUCCUUUCUUUCCCUCAUAAUGUCAAACACUUCAAAGGUUGAUUCUUCAAUAUUGAGCCAAACCACAAUCCAACAAUCAACACCACUUGCUGAAUUCCUGAAUAUAGUAGGAUCCUUCAAACUCAAUGGGGUAAAUUAUUUAGAGUGGUCACAGUUGGUAAAGACUUAUAUUAAGGGCAAAGGGAAGUUUAGUCAUCUCAGUGGACCUGUUGUAAGGAUGAUCCAAGGUUUGUCCUAUGGGAUGAAGAAGACUCUCAAAUCAUGUUAUGGCUUUGGAACUCUAUGCAACCGGAGAUAAGCCGUACAUGCAUGUUCCUCUCAACAACUAAGGAAAUUUGGGAGUCUGUGUGUCAUACCUAUUCUAAGGUAAGGGAUGCAGCCCAAAUGUAUGAACUAAAGACAAGGAUUCACAACACCAAACAAGGUAUUCUUUCCGUAACUGAGUACUGCAAUGUUAUUAAAAGUCUUUGGCUUGAACUUGAUUAAUAUCAGAAUUUAAGAAUGAAGUGCAGCAUAGAUGCAGCAAUGCAUCAAGAGUUCAUUGAACGAGAGAGGGUGUAUGAUUUCUUGGCGGGUUUGAAUGUGGAAUUGGAUCAAGUACGAGUCCAAAUUCUUGGGAAAGAGCCACUGCCAUCUCUAAACGAAGCCUUUGCAAUAGUCAGAGGAGAAGAAGGAAGGAAAAAUAUAAUGUUAGAAAAGGGAAACACCAUGGAUAGAUCUGCUUUAGCCAUCUCAAAACCAAAUGGAAAUGAAGGAAGUGCUGCGGCUAAUGCUGCAAACUCUGGUAGAAACGAAAGGAAGAAAACAAGUGAGAAAGACUCCUUAUGGUGCAGCUAUUGCAAGAAAAAUAGGCACACAAGGGAGACAUGCUGGAAGCUCCAUGGUAAGCCCCUAAAUUUCUUCAAGGGGAAUGGGGGUAAAGGGGUUAAUUCUGGCUAUAAAUCACAAGCCAAUCUUGUUGAAAUUGGAGGAAAACAGCAGGAAGAAAGCUUUGGCCAAGAAAUGGAGCUCAACAAGGAGGAAAUUGACAAACUCAAAAGAUUCAUUUCCAAGCUAGAAAAACCUGAGAGAGUCAUUUUGCUCAAACAGGACCUUCUUACGAGGAAAGUGAUUAGGCAUGCUAGAGAAGAAGGGGGACUGUUUCUCCUUGAAGUUGAUAGUGGCACAACAUGUCCUACUCCUCAUAUGUAUUUAUCAAAGCAUCAUACUCCAGCCGAGGAACAAGUUUGGUUAUCCCAUUUUCGUCUUGUUCAUCCACCUUUUUUAUUGUUGAAAAAAAUAUUUCCUAAUAUAUUUGAAAAACUAAAUGUUCAAAACUUCCAUUGUGAUGUUUGUGAAUAUGUUAAACAUCACCGCGUGUCUUUUCCUUUAAGUAAUAAGAAAAGUUUUGUUCCAUUUAGUUUGUUUCAUAUGGAUGUUUGGGGACCUACUAAAGUUCAUAGCAUUUAUGGAGUGAGUUGGUUUGUUUUGUUUGUUGAUGAUUGUACUUGAUUUACUUGGGUAUAUCUCAUGAAACAAAAACCGAGGUUAGCACAAUCUUCCCAAUUUUUCAAAACCUGCUAAAAAAUCAGUUUGAUGCAAAGAUCUUAGGAAUAAGGUUAGACAAUGGAAAAGAGUAUUUUAAUCAAUACCUUACACCUUAUCUCCAAAAAGAAGGAAUCAUACAUUAUUCAUCUUGUAAUGAUACUCCCCAACAAAAUGGGAUAGCCGAACGUAAGAAUGGGCAUCUAUUAGAGAUCACUAGAGCAUUGAUUUUUCAAAUGAAUAUUCCAAAGUCAUUUUGGGGAGAGGCUGUCUUGAUUGCUACAUACCUCAUAAAUAGGCUACCCUCUCCGAUUCUUAACUAUUCUAGCCUUGUUGAAACACUUUCUAGAUUUUUUCCAAAAUUUGAUGGUUUCAACCACCUUUCCCCAAGGAUUUUUGGGUGUGUGGCCUUUGUACAUAUCUAUGCUCAUCAAAGAUCUAAACUUGACCCAAGAGCCCUUAAAUGUAUCUUUGUUGGUUUUUCUCCUACAAAAAAAGGGUUAUAAGUGCUAUCACCUAGCUUCUAAAAGGUUUUUUGUCACUAUGGAUGCAUCAUUCAAUGAAAAACAACUUUUUUUUUUCUAAUCCUUAUCUUCAGGGGGAGCCUUUUGCAGAAGAUAAGGAAUUCUUUCCUAGCCCAGCCACUCUUUCUAUCCUAGAAAACUCCACCAAAACUGUCCAAACUAAGGGAUCAGAUUUUUCCAUGGCAGUCACUCUAGAAAAUACCAAAAAACCAGCCCCUGAAAAUGCCUCAAACACUGCACCAGUAAUGCCAGAUUUUUCUAUAGCUGUUACUUCAGAAAAUACCCAAGCAAUUGCCCCAGAGAAUGCCUCAGAAACUGCACCAGAAGCUGUCCCUGAGUUACCCAGAUUUGAAUCCUAUAUGCAAAGUUCAGAGGGGGAGGAUCUUCAAGUGCUACUCAAGGUCUAUUCAAGGAGGAAGCAACUGGCCCCAGAAACUCCACAUGCCCCAGUCAUUCAACCAGAAAAAGGUCGAUGCUGCAUAUGAAGAUAAGGCAAAUACUGUUAUAGCUGCAGAAACAGCUGACUCAUGUGAAACAAAACCAAUUGAAAUAUCAGAGAAAUGUGUGCUGGAAAAGGAUUUGAGCUUCACAAUUGACAAGGAGAGGGGGUUGCAAAAGCCUAAGAGACAAUGCAAGAAAAAUGAAGUGAUGAGUUCUUUAGAUGAGUUCAAAAUGCUUUCAGAUCUAAGUAACUUCAAGAAUCUUGCUGCAAUGAUGGAAGCUGAAGCAUUUAUGAGGAAGAAGAAGAUAAAGAGGAGGAAAAAGAAGAGAAAGAUAGAAUUUGAAGCUCAAGAUGAAAUAACUGUUGAUGUAGGGCUGGGUCAAGAGCAACCAGACACAGUUAAAGCUGUGACCAUGGCAAAAGCAGUGGAAGCUGGAUCAGUUUCAGUUUCUGAAAACAUCAAUCCAGAAAAGCUUUUUGUUGAUGAGGUGAAGGCCGGAGUGCAGCCAAACUCAAUUAAAGCAGUGGAUAUGAGAAAGGCAUCAGAAACUGAAUCAGUUUCAGUAACAAAAAAUAUUGUCUCAGAAAAGCUUUUUGUUUCAAACUUCAAAAUUGAUGAAGAAAGGAUAUCACAAGAGGCUAAGAAAAAAUGCACGAAAAAUGAGGAAGUCAUGAGUUCUUUAGAUGAGUUCAAAAUGCUUUCAGAUCUGAGUAACUUCAAGAACCUUGCUGCAAUGAUGGAAGCUGAGGCUUUUAUGAGGUGUAAGAAGAGCAAGAAAAGGAGGAAAAAGAAGAGAAACAUGGAGUUUGAAGUGCCAUUUCCAAUAAAUGUUGAUAGUGUGAGAGAACAGAAGCAGGUGGACACAUGCAGGAGUGUUGAUACAGUGAAAUUAUUCCAAAUUGAAUCCAUUGAUAUAAAAGACAAUAUCGUGCUGCAGAAACUUCUUCAAGCACCUAGAUGUUUUGAUCCUCCAGAAAGUAGCUGGAGAAUGUGCCACAAUAGUGGAGAAGAAGCUCAAACAGCAGUUGCCUGUUCUGCAGAAAAGCAGAAGAAACCAUGCUUCCUUUGUGGGAGCUUUAAGCAUAGUGGGAAUCAUUGCAAACAGGCUCGUAAUUGCUUUGUCUAUGAAAGAAGUCAGCAUACCAGAAGUUGUCCAGAGAAAAACCAAGGGAACUGUCCAAGUUCCAUGAUAUGUUUAAGAUGCGGAGGUUCAGGGCAUGAUAUGCUUUUUUGUAGGAACGAGUAUUCCUCUGAUGAUCUGAAGGAAAUACAGUGUUAUGUGUGCAAGAGAUUUGGCCAUCUUUGCUGUGUUGAUUUCCCAGAUAUACCACGACAAGCUUCUUGCUACAAAUGCGGCCACUAUGGUCACUUGGGUUCUGUAAGUCAUACUUGCUACUCAUUUUACAUUAGGAUCUGUAUGUUUUCAUAGGGCAUGCUUAGUGGAUAGAGCAACUGCACAAUUCUUACAGAGCUUCAUCCAUGAAGGAUUGCACGAAGUGACAUGGUGACAUUACCAACUCAAUGUGAUUGCUAUAUUCUAUAAGUUGGAAGAGAUGAAUGAAAAUAUCCCCAAGGUUCAGGAUAAACUGAGGAUGGGUGGUGAUUCACCAACUACUGUGAGAUUUGUCACAAGGACAAUGGAGAUUUUUUUACGUUCCAUGUCUGCAUCUAAUGAUAUGAACACAGAGAUCACAGAAGAGAACACACAGAAUACUGGGUGAGUUGCUGGUGAUUCACCUAUAAACACUUCCAGGAAAGCUGGAGCGAAUGUUUGGGGGUGUUAACUGCAAAAUCUACUAUGAAAGGCCAUGAGUUUUCCACCUUUGCAGUGAAUAAAUAGAUCUAAAGGAAAAAGAAAUUAAAAGAGAAAGAGUUUUCAGUAUUGUAGCUGUAAAGGGGUUUGGUCUAGAGAAUGGCUAGGCUCUUUCCUUUUUGGUGUAAUGCAUGUGCAUACAUAUUAUCCUGGCAACUUUUGGAAGGAGGGAAGCUGCAAUAAUUUAUGGUCAAUUUUAGUAUUUUUCUAACUCAACGCCUUAAACUUUUUAUUGAUUACUUUUCCGACUUAA